This 464-nucleotide unclassified non-coding RNA is filed under the name Hevea brasiliensis (rubber tree). The record is from RNAcentral. Lineage: Eukaryota; Viridiplantae; Streptophyta; Magnoliopsida; Malpighiales; Euphorbiaceae.
GGAGGACCUUCUCGCCUUAAGGGCACCUAGCACUUUAAACAACACUGAUGGUGGCCCAGUCCAAUUCGGUUCAUGUUGUGCCUUCCUACAUCAGACACAUCAUCCUUUUUUUAUAAAAGCAAAGGUUCAAACCGGAACUAGACCACCGGGUCAAGCUGUUAGCUCAGGCCCUUAAGCUGUUGACCCAGGCCAGUUCCAGGUUUGGCCCCAGUCCGGUUCAAGGGCUGAACUGGCCCCUGGCUGGGUCGACACCUUAAGACCCAACUUAUCCAGGAAGAGAAUAGAAUCAUAGGUUUAGUAAGAAAAUAGCACUUGCUUACUUCUGAAAUCUGUAACUUGUGUUAACAUACAGUACAAGACGGCAGCGGCUUCCUAUAAGUAGGCUUCUACAACUCUUUUUAAUUUUUGAAUGUCGUACACAACCAUAGAAACUAGAAGCACAACUUGAAUAGAAUAAGCAGGUA